GAGUUUGAUCCUGGCUCAGGACGAACGCUGGCGGCGUGCUUAACACAUGCAAGUCACGGGGGCUCGCAAGAGCAACCGGCGAACGGGUGCGUAACACGUGAGCAAUCUGCCGAUUUCUGGGGGAUAGCCGGCCCAACGGCCGGGUAAUACCGCAUACGCUGGUUGAGAGGAGUCUCUUGGCCAGGAAACCUCCGGGGGAAAUCGAGGAGCUCGCGGCCUAUCAGCUAGUUGGCGGGGUCAAGGCCCACCAAGGCGACGACGGGUAGCUGGUCUGAGAGGAUGGCCAGCCACAUUGGGACUGAGAGACGGCCCAGACUCCUACGGGAGGCAGCGAGGUA
This 338-nucleotide ribosomal RNA is filed under the name uncultured Gemmatimonadota bacterium. RNAcentral describes it as "bacterial SSU rRNA". It matches the Rfam family "Bacterial small subunit ribosomal RNA", at positions 9 to 361 of the family's 1533-position model. The record is from RNAcentral. Lineage: Bacteria; Pseudomonadati; Gemmatimonadota.